CACAUUUAGCUUAGUGAUAUUCUUAAUCUUAUAAAUUGAACAGAGUGUGUUCUAUUCAAUAGUGAGCUAAGUGUG
Molecule: small nucleolar RNA, 75 nt
Organism: Impatiens glandulifera
Lineage: Eukaryota; Viridiplantae; Streptophyta; Magnoliopsida; Ericales; Balsaminaceae
Product: small nucleolar RNA SNORD69
Exons: 1
Source: RefSeq, a predicted model, not a curated record